CCUACGUGAGGCAGCAGUGGGGAAUAUUGCGCAAUGGGCGAAAGCCUGACGCAGCGACGCCGCGUGAGGGAUGAAGGUCUUCGGAUCGUAAACCUCUGUCAGCAGGGAAGAACGGUCACUGUGCUAAUCAGCAGUGAAUUGACGGUACCUGCAAAGGAAGCACCGGCUAACUCCGUGCCAGCAGCCGCGGUAAUACGGAGGGUGCGAGCGUUAAUAGGAAUUACUGGGCGUAAAGCGCUCGUAGGCGGUAUGUCAAGUCAAGGGUGAAAUCCCCGCGCUCAACGUGGGAACUGCCUUUGAAACUGGCAAACUGGAGUGUGUGAGAGGAUAGUGGAAUUCAAGGUGUAGGAGUGAAAUCCGUAGAUAUCUGGAGGAACAUCAGUGGCGAAGGCGACUAUCUGGCACAUAACUGACGCUGAGGAGCGAAAGCGUGGGUAGCAAACAGGAUUAGAUACCCGGGUAGUC
RNAcentral lists this ribosomal RNA (465 nucleotides) under uncultured bacterium. RNAcentral describes it as "partial 16S ribosomal RNA". It matches the Rfam family "Bacterial small subunit ribosomal RNA", at positions 338 to 795 of the family's 1533-position model. The record is from RNAcentral.